CCGCCAGUGUACGGAUAAGCAACCGCUGCUGGAAAAAAAUAAAAUAGGGCUUUUUCCCUUCCCGAAUAGCAUCCCCAAAUUGCGCCCGCCAAAUCUCUCUCCCAAAACCCCUUUUCCCUCUUCUCUCCCAAAUCGCCCCAUCCCCAAAUCACGCGCGCGCCAAUAUUUCUCUCCCAAAACCCUUCUUCCCUCUUCUCUCCCAAAUCGCCCCAUCCCCAAAUCCCGAAAGUCUCUCUCUCUCCAACGUCCCUCCACUCCGGCCUCUCUACAUAUGGCUUCCAUUUCCAUUGCUUGUUGAAGACGUUGAACUCUCAGCCGUUGCCCUCCUUGCUGGAACACGCCAAAGUCCGAGAAGGCCCGCAAGAGGAAGAAGCACCUGCAACAGCCGCAGCAGAAUAUUACCCUGUAGAAAUUUGAUACCCAGUCUGUUUUUCAUCACCGAAUCCCCCGGUGGCUGGUGAGUCUUAUUAGUAAACACCUUCUUAACAAGUGCUGGGAUUCGGUGUCUAGGCCAAAAUGGGUAUGAUGGACGAGUUCGAAGCUUCUUUGCAAGUAUACUAUGGGGAUUAGAUACUGACAUUUCUUUUGAAGUGAAUGAAAUCAAGGAAUCUGUAGCUUCCAUAAGCAGGAGAACAGCCGUCUGAUUUUCUCAUCUCAAGCAAAGAAGAUAUUGGUUUCCUCUAAUGGUAUUGUAGCUUGCCCAGUUUUUUAUUUAUUUAUAAUUUUUUUUUUAUACACACUGUUAUUUUCACAUAAGUGAGUAAAUGUCAGAACGUAAUUUUCAUAGUAUCCUGCAGGUAGGAAUUGGGUUACUAAUAUUGCAGCAGCUAAGUGGAGUCAAUGACAUUCUAUUUUAUGCGAGCAAUAUUUUCAAAGCUGCUGGUUUCUGAGGAGUAUAAGCUUGUUCCAGAUACACUUUACCUCACGAUAUAUUUCAUCGACCAGUUUCUCUCUCAAAACUACAUUGAAAGACAAAAGCUCCAG
Long non-coding RNA from Magnolia sinica, 984 nucleotides. RefSeq lists it as uncharacterized. The record is from RefSeq and is a predicted model, not a curated record. The transcript has 4 exons. NCBI's taxonomy places the organism in Eukaryota, Viridiplantae, Streptophyta, Magnoliopsida, Magnoliales, Magnoliaceae.